CUUUCCUUUUUCUUGAAGUUUGGCAUGUGAGGUUUUCCUUCAACUAUUUCACCGCGAAGCAGUCGUAUGCCAGAUGUCCAUAACACGUUUUGAUAUUAGCUGGGUAGUAAUGCGAUUCGUAAUUAGCAUCUUCAAAUGAAAAACUUGUAUCAUUUAGCUGAGACGCUAGUUGAUAUUGUCAUCAUGCAGCAGUUACGUAUGAUAAAAUCGUCCAUAUCCAAUUCGGGAACAGGAAUGGCUCAUUGCAAUGCACAUGGUUGCCACAGUGUUGAAGCAGACGUAUGACGCUUUUGAGACUGAGAGGACUGUAAAGGAUGGGUUCAGGAGGACAGGUAUCUUUCAAUUUGACCCACAUGUCAUGGCUGGGUCAAUGUGGUGUGGGAGGGAAGAGAUGAGGCCUGAAGUCAGUGCUGCUGGACCCUGUGAUGAUGGGCCAAUGGAAGAACAACCCGAACGAGUGUGUCCGAGACCAUGGCAAGAAGGCAGUAAAGAGGAAUCUGAUGUCAAACUGGUGCUGCCUGGGUCAUCCUUGCCAGUUUCUAUGCCAUCGGAGUCUGUUCUGAAGCGAGAGGAGAUAUUUGAAGUAGUGCUUAAAAAACAAGAGGAAAUUAAGGAGGAGGAGUUGAAUGUUGUGUCAAACAUAUCCUCAGUAGACCUUCAUGUCACGGACUCCAGUGAGUUGAGGAGACAGAACUGCACAACAUUUUUUAAAUAAUGCCAAUAAUCAAUAUUGGAUGAUCAUUAUCAAGUAAAACCUAUCGAGUGGGAGGGCAAAGAGGCAGGUGCUCGAGCACAAGUAGAUCCCUAUCUGUGCACGUGCCUGGUUUACCGUGUGGUCUAAAUAAAGUCAUAUUGGAUCAUUGAUUGAUGUAGACCUUUUCAAUAAAAUGACAUUUCCUAAAUCUCAAUUCACUGGAAAAUCUACAUGAUGUGUGAUGAGGUAUCCUCUUUAGUGCCCUAUAAAUUCGACAUAAUAGUUUG
RNAcentral lists this long non-coding RNA (981 nucleotides) under Salmo salar (Atlantic salmon). RNAcentral's name for it is "lncRNA (ENSSSAG00000121353.1)". The record is from RNAcentral. Lineage: Eukaryota; Metazoa; Chordata; Actinopteri; Salmoniformes; Salmonidae.